UACUACUAGUAUUUAGCAAGUACACGGUUUUUCACAUGCGAAUUACCUGCCUGCUUUUCUGAAACAGAACCAAACAAUUUUUUUUUUUUUUUUUUGCAUUAAAGCUUUCGUCAUGCGCAGCUUUCGGGAGAAAACAGAACUAAAUAAACAAACAAACAAACAAUUUUAGCCUCUGUUUUUUUUGAAUACGUUGUUUAAUGUUUAUCUCUGUUUUCAUUCCUAUUUUCGUGGCAACUUUUUAUUCCUUACCUUUCCUUACUUUCCUUGUUCACUAGUAGAUAUGAUUUUACGUAUCAAAUUCGAAAAAGAAUUUCUCUGUUUUUUCUUAUAAUAUUUAUUUUUUUGGAAUGAAAAACAAGAAUAUCCAUAUGCUGAAGUAAGCUUUAUUGUCAGCAAAGCACCAACCUUAGGCAUGUAUUUCUUUGUUUGUUAGUUCAUACUAGUUUUUAUAUAUAAUCUUGGCGGCUUUUCUUCCCAUUUUUCAAACAUUUAAUGGCUUUAGGUAAUUCCUUUUUUAUUCAAAACGUAUGAUAUAUAUUUGAUUAUCGUCAUAAUGGGUGUUUACUUUUAAUUUUUAUAUGAAAAUCUCCAUUUUUUAAUUCUUUAGAAUUCAAAUUUGGAUUUUCUUAUUGUACUUGUUAAUGGGGUCUUAUUAUUAUUAUUUUUGCUUUUUGACUAUUCAGAUCAAGGAUUAAAUUCUGGACUAGUGUCUUGUAAAACACUUCCUCCUUUGUCUUGAAUCAAGAAGCAUUGAAUUUUCUGAGUUGAUGGAAUUCAUAUAAAUUGUUUUGAUAUGUUUUGAAAAGACGAGGGAAAAAAGAAACAAUUUUGUUGGUGAAUUAGGAAGGAAGAUAACAUGAUUUUUGCAAAGAUAUUAGAAUCAGAAAAGAGAAAUGUGAUUGUGGGAAUUCGAUUUGAUGGACAUAUUAGAGAGUUGUUGAAUUGGGCUAUUGUAAAAGUUGCAGAACCUGGAGACAGAGUUAUUGCUCUACAUGUUUGUCGUGAUGCCGGUACGUCACUAAAAUCUUACUUGUCCUAAUUGAAUUUUGCUAUGUUUUUGCACUUGACAUUGGAACUUUUAUCAUUUUCAGAUUCAAUUUCAAAUGUUAAAUCAUCGUUGGACACUUAUCUGUAUGAUUACGAUGGCUUAUGUAAUAAAAUGCAGGUUGCUUUUUCUUUCUUUCUUUUUUUUCCUUCCUAGUGAUGGAUACAAUUCAGCUUUCUCUAAAUUGUUUGUCGUCUUUUUGGUAAAUAAAGAAAAACACCGAUGGUGAUUGAUGUGGUUUGUUUUUGGUUGUGAAUUUCAGGUGGAUCUUAUUUCUUUGGUGUCAGAAGGAAGUUCUAUUAGAAGAGCUUUGAUUAGGGAAGCAAAGAACCAUGCUGCAUUAGCUGUUGUAGUAGGAACUAGCAAGCAUAGUACUCUUGGGUAAGUAAAACUAUAUACUUCUUAAUUUUUUUCUCCAUUACCGACAGUGGCGGGGGUCAGGAUUUUUACUAACGGAUUCAGAAAACUCGAGGGCAUUAAAGCUUUCGUCAUGCGCAGCUUUCGGGAGAAAACAGAACUAAAUAAACAAACAAACAAACAAUUUUAGCCUCUGUUUUUUUUGAAUACGUUGUUUAAUGUUUAUCUCUGUUUUCAUUCCUAUUUUCGUGGCAACUUUUUAUUCCUUACCUUUCCUUACUUUCCUUGUUCACUAGUAGAUAUGAUUUUACGUAUCAAAUUCGAAAAAGAAUUUCUCUGUUUUUUCUUAUAAUAUUUAUUUUUUUGGAAUGAAAAACAAGAAUAUCCAUAUGCUGAAGUAAGCUUUAUUGUCAGCAAAGCACCAACCUUAGGCAUGUAUUUCUUUGUUUGUUAGUUCAUACUAGUUUUUAUAUAUAAUCUUGGCGGCUUUUCUUCCCAUUUUUCAAACAUUUAAUGGCUUUAGGUAAUUCCUUUUUUAUUCAAAACGUAUGAUAUAUAUUUGAUUAUCGUCAUAAUGGGUGUUUACUUUUAAUUUUUAUAUGAAAA
RNAcentral lists this long non-coding RNA (2008 nucleotides) under Capsicum annuum. Its description in RNAcentral is "long non-coding RNA (CANN_LNC013323)". Lineage: Eukaryota; Viridiplantae; Streptophyta; Magnoliopsida; Solanales; Solanaceae. The record is from RNAcentral.